RNAcentral lists this long non-coding RNA (214 nucleotides) under Carica papaya (papaya). Its description in RNAcentral is "long non-coding RNA (CPAP_LNC006459)". The record is from RNAcentral. Lineage: Eukaryota; Viridiplantae; Streptophyta; Magnoliopsida; Brassicales; Caricaceae.
UAAGAUAACACAUAUGGAUCGGGAAAAAAUACUUUCAUAGAUUGAAUAAGAAAAUCAUAAAAUAUCCCUUAGAGAUGAUUACAAGAAUGAAAUCUAAAGGAAACAUGAAAUGAUUAAGAAUAACCCACUCGAAGAAGCUCUUGAUAUCUGCAGCCAUCUUCUUUUUUUCUCCUACUUUCAUCUCCCUCUUCUUUUUUAGAUAAUCCCCCUUUUU